This 348-nucleotide ribosomal RNA is filed under the name uncultured Pelotomaculum sp. Its description in RNAcentral is "bacterial SSU rRNA". It matches the Rfam family "Bacterial small subunit ribosomal RNA", at positions 1034 to 1382 of the family's 1533-position model. The record is from RNAcentral. Lineage: Bacteria; Bacillati; Bacillota; Clostridia; Eubacteriales; Desulfotomaculaceae.
ACAGGUGGUGCAUGGUUGUCGUCAGCUCGUGUCGUGAGAUGUUGGGUUAAGUCCCGCAACGAGCGCAACCCCUACGUUUAGUUGCUAACGCGUGAAGGCGAGCACUCUAGACGAACUGCCGUUGACAAAACGGAGGAAGGUGGGAUGACGUCAAAUCAUCAUGCCCCUUAUGUUCUGGGCUACACACGUGCUACAAUGGCCGGUACAGACGGACGCAAAGCCGCGAGGUGGAGCAAAUCCUAAAAAGCCGGUCUCAGUUCGGAUUGCAGGCUGCAAUUCGCCUGCAUGAAGUCGGAAUCGCUAGUAAUCGCAGGUCAGCAUACUGCGGUGAAUACGUUCCCGGGCCUU